CAAGUACCGUGAGGGAAAGUUGCAAAGAACUUUGAAGAGAGAUUUCAAGAGAACGUGCAAUCCUAGCGGUUGAAGCGGAGAGAGUUGACGUAGCUCGGCGGCUAAGCUUAGUGUUGUCUUUUCGGAGGCUUCGCUUUGUGGUGUCCGCUUAUAGCUGCGCCGGUAGCGUUGUUCGAGCUUUCUGACCUGGUUAGUGUUGCCCACUUCGGUGGUGUCUUGCUGCCGGCGAGGUCUGCCGUAUUAACGUUUAAUUUGCCUUACGGCAAGUACCGGUGUGAAGGUCAGCCACCUUUCCGACCCGUCUUGAAACACGGACCGAGGAGUGUAACUUGUACGCGAGUCAGAGGGUGGAAAACCCUACGGCGCAAUGAAAGUAAAGGUCGGUUAACCGGCUGACAUGGGAUCCGUGCUUCGGCGCGGCGCACCAUGGCCCUGUCUUGAGAGCUUGCUCUUGGGCAGAGGUAGAGCGUACAGGUUGCGACCCGAAAGAUGGUGAACUAUACUUGAGCAGGACGAAGCCAGAGGAAACUCUGGUGGAAGUCCGUAUCGGUUCUGACGUGCAAAUCGAUCGAUAGACUUGAGUAUAGGGGCGAAAGACUAAUCGAACCAUCUAGUAGCUGGUUCCUUCCGA
Molecule: ribosomal RNA, 631 nt
Filed under: Oscheius myriophilus
Lineage: Eukaryota; Metazoa; Nematoda; Chromadorea; Rhabditida; Rhabditidae
Description: partial large subunit ribosomal RNA
Rfam family: Eukaryotic large subunit ribosomal RNA
Source: RNAcentral